AACAAUUGGAGAUCAGAUACCAAAAAAAACGAGGCGUAACCGAAAAGCCAGAUGAGUAGGGUUUUA
Molecule: regulatory RNA element, 66 nt
Organism: Flavobacterium columnare ATCC 49512
Lineage: Bacteria; Pseudomonadati; Bacteroidota; Flavobacteriia; Flavobacteriales; Flavobacteriaceae
Rfam family: DUF805 RNA
Source: Rfam